GUAGCAUAUAUCAUUUGGUUUUUAAUAGAGAUCUGGGAUGAAAGGUCUAACAAAUAUUAGUUUCUUGCCCGUAAAGAGUGAAUUUAAGAUUUAAGUAAAAACGCUUAAAUUGUUUGUGGGACGACAAGACCCUAAAAGCUUUAUUUUUGGAAUUAAAGUAUUUUUAAUAUUUAAUGAAGUUAAAUAUUUGGUUGGGGUAAUGGCUUUGAAUAUGUCAGAGUAUUUUUUUAUAGUGUAAUUAGAUACAGGUCCUUAUUAUUAGGAUAGUAGUUAUAGUUACUUUAGGGGUAACAGGGUAAUUAUUUUAUAAAGCUCUUAUUUAUAAAAUAGGUUUCUACCUCGAUGUUGAAUUAAUGUUUCGGCGAGAUGAAAAAGGUUCGUUCAGAGGGUUUGUUCAACCUUUAAUUUUUU
RNAcentral lists this ribosomal RNA (411 nucleotides) under Jesogammarus hokurikuensis. Its description in RNAcentral is "partial 16S ribosomal RNA". Lineage: Eukaryota; Metazoa; Arthropoda; Malacostraca; Amphipoda; Anisogammaridae. The record is from RNAcentral.